UCCUGGUGGCUCAGUGGUAAAGAAUCUGCCUGCAGUGCAGAAGACCCAGAUUCAAUCCCUGGGCCAGGAA
RNAcentral lists this transfer RNA (70 nucleotides) under Ovis aries (sheep). It matches the Rfam family "tRNA". Rfam says of the family: Transfer RNA (tRNA) molecules are approximately 80 nucleotides in length. Their secondary structure includes four short double-helical elements and three loops (D, anti-codon, and T loops). The record is from Rfam by way of RNAcentral. Lineage: Eukaryota; Metazoa; Chordata; Mammalia; Artiodactyla; Bovidae.